RNAcentral lists this long non-coding RNA (5328 nucleotides) under Marmota monax (woodchuck). The record is from RNAcentral. Lineage: Eukaryota; Metazoa; Chordata; Mammalia; Rodentia; Sciuridae.
GAAGAAGGGAGGAAGGGAGGAAGGGGGGAAGAGAGGAAGAUAAAAGAGAAAGGGAAAAAGCUAAAAGUAACCUCAUGACUUUCUUGCAGUUUAAGAAAUCCCUGUUCCCUCCUUUUCAGGACGAUGAAGCCACCCCAGACAUUACAAACAACUGCAACAAAUGAAUCUGGCAGCAUAAAAAAUGUCUAGUGUUCAAGUCUUCAUAGUGAGACCCAUACAUCUUGUACACAAUAUGUCGAAUGUUUGUUGCAGCAGGUGAAUCAAACCCAAAGACACUGGACAGUCUGUGAAAGGGAGCAAGAAUUGCAGUUCUGAAGGCCCCUGACUUUGGUUGUUUACAGAGUUCAAUCCUGUUUAUUGUGCUCCUUGGUACCUUCUUCAUCUGCAUAUCCUGAAGGUUCUUCCCCUGGUUUUAGGAAUCUGCCUACAUAUUCAUAUUCUUCUUUAAACUGCAUUUCCCAUUCUCGAACACUCUCCAUUUGCGCUGCAUUCAAGUCUGAGAGAUCAUCAUAUUCAUCUCUAAGUGCAUCCUUAUCUAGGCAAAAUGUUGCCAGUCUUCUGGAGGCAUCCCUACCAGCAAAUAUUCCAUAUGCACCCGCGGGGCCCUACAACUUGCGGCAUUUGGUCACAGCAAAGACUUUCCCAUUGACCUCAAGCAGGAGGCGCAGCUUGUGCAACUCGACCGACCUACUGGUGAAGCUACUUGAGGCUGAAGUCCCACAUCUCCAUGCGCUGCAGGGAGGGGACCAGGCUCUCCUUCCCCGCCCUGGCCCCUCCUCCCGCCCCAUUCUUGAACACUCAGGGUCACUUGGCCACUGAGCCACAUCCCCAGCCCUAUUUUGUAUUUUAUUUAGAGUCAGGGUCUCACUGAGUUGCUAAGCAACUUGCCUUUGCUGAGGCUGGCUUUGAACUUGCGAUCCUCCUGCCUCAGCCUCUGGAAUCACUGGGAUUACAGGCGUGGGCCGUUGUGCCCAGUGGUAUUUGUUCUUUUUAAAAUAUUUCUUGCUGAGCUUCUUGUGUUUGUGACUGGUGUCCUUCGUCAAUUUCAAGAAAAUCAUUGCUGUUUAUCUCUUCAGAUCAUGCUUUUGUCUUUUUCUCUCCUCUUGUGACUUACGCUGUGUUGGACCUUUGGAGUACCUCUGACAUGGCUCCUGUGUUCUGAUUUUCCAUUCUUUUUCUUUGUGUGGGUUGGAACUGUUUGCUACCUUGUAUCAUGACAGUUAAUCUUGGUUUCUGCUGUUGGACUGCUAUCACAUGUAGUAACAAGGCCCUUAAUAUCAGAUACUGCCUUUUAGAGUGAUAGGAUGUUGACAUGACUUUUAUCUAUUGAUUUCAAAUUUAUGAGUCUGUAGGAGAAUCAGGAAAUUUUUGUCUUUUCAUUUCUUCUUCAUUUGGGGGUAUAUUUUAAUUACAGUUGGCACUCAGCAGUCUUUUCCUUUUCUCACGGUUGCUUUAUUGUUUGUUUUGUUUUGUUUUGUUUUGUUUUUUCAAAUUGUCCGGCUUUAUCAUGUUUCCUAAUUUCCUAUUAUAUCAGGGAUUAUGAAUUAGGGAAAUUUUGAAAGAUGUUCUAGGGCUGGGGAUGUGGCUCAAGCGGUAACGCGCUCGCCUGGCAUGCGUGCGGCCCAGGUUCGAUCCUCAGCACCACAUACAAACAAAGAUAUUGUGUCCGCCAAAAAACUAAAAAAUAAAUAUUAAAAAAAAUUCUCUCUGUCUCUCACCUCUCUCUUUAAAAAAAAAAAGAAAGAUGUUCUAUCCUUUCAUAUAGGGUUGUCCUUUCUUCUGGCAGGAAGAUGGGCAUCAGUGAUUGUCUUGCUCUAAUUGAAGUUUAGUUUUAUGCUUUUCUAGCUAAGAUUUUGCUCUUACUACUAGCUGAGGCUGUUCUGCAGUCUAAGCUGAAGUCAGGGUGUUCACCCAGGGCCUCCUCUUUGCUGGGACUUUAAUUCUUGCCUGUGUCUGCUCAGCUCAGGAGGUUGGUGAGAUUUUAGUCCAGUUCCUCAGGCUCCCGGUUUCUGCUUUCUCUGGGUUCCCAGCCUCUCAUCCUGGAUCAGUCAGUGAGUUGAGGGGAAUUUGUAAGUUGACUUAGGCUCCUCCUCUGCAGUUUCAUCCUUUCUGAGGUUUUCUUCUCAGAUUCUAGCCCCUCUAGGAUUUGGACCCCUUCCUUUCUCCUCAUGUCAGUGGCCUGUUGACAGCUAUCGGGGCUCUAGUGACCCAUGCUACGGCCCAGAAAAUAUCUGAGGGAGAAGCAGGCUGGAGAGUGCAGCGGCUUCCUGUGCUCCUAUCACACGUGUUGGCCUUGUCGUCCUGCUUGUCCCACUGGCCCUCCAGUUCUGGACGCCACAGUUGGCUCUAUUUUGUACAGGCUUCCUAGCUGUUUCGGGUGGGAGGGUUGGUGCUACAGCAGACACAGUUUCCAUGGCACGUUCCCAGGGUUUUCUUCUUUAUAUUUUGUUAUCAUUAUUUCCAUAUCUAGUGGUUACAGAAAAAGAUGAGAUCUAUUCCAGAAAGCCUCUGCCGGGAACUCUUCUUCAAGAGGAAGCACUUGAACAAUGAACAGAAUGACAUGGCCUUGGAUGAGCACUCUCCGCUGGUCUUCUCUAAUAGCUGGUCUUUGGAUCUGCACCUGCCAAAGAAUGAGGAAGUCACCUUUGAUGUGCUUCUGAUUUCCCAGGAAAAUCCACUAGUCCUGGACACUUUCCUCAGGGUAGUUGAGAAUUUAGAAGAUGAUUCCCCUCUUUCUCAGGGAACUAGAUAUAAGCUUAAAGGCUAUUCUUCCCAAACUGCCCAAACUUUAAAGCAGAACUGGCAAAACUUGGUGGUUUCCCUAAGAAACUCACCAUCAUGAGGAAGAUAUUCUUCUUGAAUCUUUUUUUUUUCAAUUACUUUUAGUUAUGUAUAGCAAUAUAAUAUAUUUUGGCAGAAUAUAUAUACAUAGAAUGUACCUUAUUCUAUUUAGGUUCCCACUCGUGUGGUUGUACAUAAUAUAGAGUUACCCUAGCCAUGUAUUCAAAUACCAGGUUAGGUAAGUUAUGGCCAAUUAAUUUUACUGUCUUUCCUAUUCCCCCAUUCCCUUUCCUUCAUUUCCAUUUAUCUAAUCCAAUGAACUUUAUUCUUUUCCUCCCCACCCUCCCUUGUUGUGAUUCAGCAUCCACAAAUCAGAGAGAGCAUUCGGACAUUGGUUUUUUGGGAUUGGCUUAUUUCACUUAUUGGCUUAUUUCACAUAAUAUUUUCCAGUUCCUUCCAUUUAACAGCAAAUGCCAUUAUUUCAUCCUUCUUUAAGGCUGAGUAAUAUUCCACUGUGUAUAUGUCCUACAUUUUCUUUUUCUAUUCAUCUGUUGAAGGACACCUCAGUUGUUUCCAUAGCUUGGCUAUUGUGAAUUGAGCUGCUAUAAACAUGGAUGUGGCUUAGUCACUGUAGUAUGUUUUUAAGUCCCUUGGGUAUAGACUGAGGAGGAGUGGGAUAACAAGGUCAGUGUUAUCAGUGGUUCUAUUCCGAGUUUUCUGAGGAAUCUCCAUACUGCUUUCCAUAGUGGUUGCAUCAUACCUUUCUCUCCACAUCCUUGCCAACAUCUAUUGUUACUUGUAUUCUUGAUAAUUGCCAUUAUGACUGGAGUGAGAUGAAAUCUCAGUGUAGUUUUGAUUCACACUUAUCUAAUUGCUAGAGAUGUUGAAUAUUUUUUUCUUAUGUUUGUUGACCAGUUGUAUUUCUUUUUCUGUGAAGUGUUUAGUUCCUUUGCCCAUUUAUUGAUUGGAUUAUUUCCCCCCUGGUGUUAUCUGUGUGAGUCUUGAUGCCAAAAUAAUCUCCUUUAUGAUUCAAGAUUGAAACUGUCGUACCUGCAUCCUACUGGCUUACAAUCUUUGAAGCCACAAGGGACCAGGUGAAGCCCUCUAUGUAGUCUGAAGGAGACUGACUGUCUGAGGGAGCAGCAUGCCCUUGGGAUUUUCAAAUGCCUACCAGAUAAUCAAUAUAGAUUGUUUUUAUUAAAAUGCCAUACAGAUGUUAAAAACUUGGUGUUUUAGUCAACUUUUGUGUCACUGUGAUAAAAUUACCCAACAAGAGCAACUUAAAAGAGGAGAAGUUUAUUUGGGGCUCAGGGUUUUGGAGGUCUCAGUCCAUAGACAUCUGACCCCAUUACUCUGGGCCCAAGAUGAGGUAGCAUAUCAUGGGAGAAUGUCUCAGAAGAGUGAAGCUGUUCAGCUUAUGACAGAUUCAGGAAGCAGAGAGAGAGACAGAGGAGAGGGCAAGGGAAUGUGGGGAAGAUGCACCCUUCCAAGUCAGGUACCCAGUAACCAACUUCCUUCAGCCACCGACAGUCACCUCCCAGUGUAAUUCACAUGAGGAGGGACUGGUUAGGCCACAGCUCUCCCUGAUCAAUCACUUUACUUCUGAGUAUUACUGCACUGGCACAAAAACUUUUGUGGGAUACAUCACAUCCAAACCAUAACAUUCUGUACCUGACCCCCAACGCUCAUGUCCAUCUCACAGUGCAAAAUUCAUUUAAUUUUUUUCCAAGAGUUUCCCUUUCUUAACAUUGUAAGAAUUACCCCAAAGUCCAAGUCCAAAGUCUCAUCUGAAAACUCUUGGUUGUGAGGCCCUGUAAAAUCAAAAGCAAGUCACAAUCUCUAAUAUACAAUGGCACAGAGUAAACACUGUGACUCCAAAGGGGAGAAAUAGGCACAGAGAAAUAAGGGGCCAAAGAAAGACCAAAAUCCAGCUGAGUUCCUGGAACUCCAUCCCUGAUGGCUCAUCUAAGAUACAAGGCUGUGCCAUGUGCUCUCCCAAGGGUUUGGGCAGCCCUCCUUCUUUGGUCUUCAUGUUGCUCUCUCAGUCUCUCACAAUACAAUCACUUUACCCCAAACAUUCCUGAAUCAAGACAGGAGGUUUUGUGGGAAACCUUACAUACAAACUAUAACACUUGACAAAGCCUUACCUGGAUAAUGGAAGGUGGACUGGGCUACAAAGAUAUUUUUCAUUAUAAAGAUGAUGCUGUUCUCUAAUUUUCAAAAAUGUUUCUUUGAGAUGCUGCAGGUUAAGCAGCUUCACCUGAUGUUGGAGAACUUCAAUUUAGCUUCUGUUCACUUCUUCCUGAAUAGUCUUUACAUACGUUGCUUAAGAGCAAUUAGAAAGAUUAAUUAGUUACCUAUUCUGUGCACAAAUUUUAUUUACUCUUUUCUUGUUCAUGGAUAGACGUUCUUUCAUUUUAAAAUCAAGACAGUUUGCUGUUCCUUUAACAGCAAUGAAAAACUGCCCAGGAUCUAGUCAGACAAUCUAUGAUUUUGAAAAGAACAUCAUUGAUGAAGGUCAUAAUUUCCCCAAUGGGAAUGAAAAGA